AUACGUAGGGGGCGAGCGUUGUCCGGAAUGAUUGGGCGUAAAGGGCGCGUAGGCGGCCCGGUAAGUCUGGAGUGAAAGUCCUGUUUUUAAGAUGGGAAUUGCUUUGGAUACUGUCGGGCUUGAGUGCAGGAGAGGUAAGUGGAAUUCCCAGUGUAGCGGUGAAAUGCGUAGAGAUUGGGAGGAACACCAGUGGCGAAGGCGGGUAACUGGACUGCAACUGACGCUGAGGCGCGAAAGUGUGGGGAGCAAACAGGAUUAGAUACCCUGGUAGUCCACACUGUAAACGAUGAAUGCUAGGUGUAAGAGGUAUCGACCCCUUUUGUGCCGGAGUCAACACAAUAAGCAUUCCGCCUGGGGAGUACGGCCGCAAGGUUGAAACUCAAAUGAAUUGACGGGG
RNAcentral lists this ribosomal RNA (397 nucleotides) under uncultured bacterium. RNAcentral describes it as "partial 16S ribosomal RNA". It matches the Rfam family "Bacterial small subunit ribosomal RNA", at positions 523 to 918 of the family's 1533-position model. The record is from RNAcentral.